AAUCCAUAGGUUAAUGAGGCGAACCGGGGGAACUGAAACAUCUAAGUACCCCGAGGAAAAGAAAUCAACCGAGAUUCCCCCAGUAGCGGCGAGCGAACGGGGAGGAGCCCAGAGCCUGAAUCAGCAUGUGUGUUAGUGGAAGCGUCUGGAAAGGCGCGCGAUACAGGGUGACAGCCCCGUACACAAAAGCGCAUGUGCUGUGAGCUCGAUGAGUAGGGCGGGACACGUGGUAUCCUGUCUGAAUAUGGGGGGACCAUCCUCCAAGGCUAAAUACUCCUGACUGACCGAUAGUGAACCAGUACCGUGAGGGAAAGGCGAAAAGAACCCCGGCGAGGGGAGUGAAAAAGAACCUGAAACCGUGUACGUACAAGCAGUGGGAGCACCCUUCGGGGUGUGACUGCGUACCUUUUGUAUAAUGGGUCAGCGACUUAU
Molecule: ribosomal RNA, 432 nt
Filed under: Salmonella enterica
Lineage: Bacteria; Pseudomonadati; Pseudomonadota; Gammaproteobacteria; Enterobacterales; Enterobacteriaceae
Also listed under: 2 other names
Description: partial 23S ribosomal RNA
Rfam family: Bacterial large subunit ribosomal RNA
Source: RNAcentral